AUUUGUUCAAUUAUUAUUAUUAUUAUUAUUAUUAUUUGCAGUUUGUUUGUCAAGUCCAAGCAAAACUGAGUGCAGCUGUGAGAAUCAGUAUAUCUGGUCCUCUGAACAAUGCUCUAAACAUGGUGUUUGUGACUACAGUCAAAAUAACACAUGUGGAUGCAUCACUUCUCUUCCAACUGAUAGGUCAUUCUGUCGGCCACCACCAGGUACAAUAAACUUUUUUUUUUUUCAUUUUGACAUGGUUUCUGAACGGAUAAUUAUUUUCAUUUUGUUACAUUUUUUCAGCUUACAUGAAGUCAUUCAGAUACACCAUUUACAUAAAAGUUAAUGCUUCAAAUAAAGCUGUGAUCGACCGUUUAAGGGCAAUGAUCAGUGGACCGAAAUUUCCAAUGUGUGUCAAGAAAGGCAUAAAAAUAUCCAGUACAAACAUCACUACAGUUUGUCUCUCAAAUAUGAGCAAAACUGAGUGCAGCUGUGAGAAUCAGUACAUCUGGUCCUCUGAUCAAUGCUUUAAAUAUGCGGUUUGUGGCUCAAGUCAAAAUACCAGAUGUGGAUGCAUCACUUCUCUCUUCUCAACUGAUGGGUCAUUCUGCCGACCACAACCUGCUUACUUAAAGUCAUUCAGAUACACCAUUGAAAUAAAAGCCAACACUUUAAGAAAAGCUGUAAUCGACCAAUUGAAGGCGAUGAUCAAUGGACAGAAAUCUCCAAUUUGUGUCAAGAAAGACAUGAAAAUCUCCAGUGCAAACAUCACUACAGGUGAGA
Molecule: long non-coding RNA, 765 nt
Filed under: Danio rerio (zebrafish)
Lineage: Eukaryota; Metazoa; Chordata; Actinopteri; Cypriniformes; Danionidae
Description: lncRNA (ENSDARG00000117355.1)
Source: RNAcentral